AGCAGCAUCCGGCCGGGCGGUCACGGCCACAGCAUCCUGACGCCAGGGAGCACCGCGGACGCGAUGGGCAGAGCGAGGGGACGUUCCGAGAGCAGCCAGAAAGAGAAGCCAUUGCCACAAGAUGGACAAAGACCAUUAUGUCAUGCAGAGGAGCAUCACCCUCACUCCAGCUUGCCCUGGUUCCCCUCCCCAAGGCUUGUUAACUUGGACUUGUGCUGAGGCUGAACUGCAGGGAGAGAUAAGCGAUGAAGACUGAGUGACCCAGCAUGUGAAUUUUACAGAGAGAAGUGCCUCAAACUACAUAACGUGCUCCUGUAGAAGCUCGGCCCUUUGCCUGCCCACACUUUUUUCAGUAAUGUAUAAGUUUCUAUUUUUUCUUAAUAAAAUCAUGUUUCCAAUUUUCUUACUAAAAACAUACAACAGGAAUGCAGAUAAUGUUCAUUAGCUAUGGCAAAUUAAAAUUAUCUAAUAAUGUCAGCAAAACAUAUUGAGUUAAUAUCCAUUUUAAGGAGAGAAAAUUAAAGAACAAAGAUUAUACCUAGAUAUACAAAUAUCUGCUGUUGGAAUCCAAAAUAAAAGUCUCCUGACUCCCUCAGAGAGAAAAAAGAAUUAAAAUAUAUUAAACCACAUAGACAUGAAGUAAGAAUGUAGGUUUUAGUUUUAAGUAAGUUCUAAUAUAGCUUAAGUGCCUUAAGAGCCUGUUACCUAGUGAAAAGCCUUAUUACCCAGUUGAAAGUUCAGUGAUACCCUUCACAGAUUCAACUUAGCCCUAGACACAAUAUAAAUUAGAGUAAGAACAUACCUUACACUUCUAGAUAGAACAGCUAGAACUGUACAUGUAAACGUACAGUACCAUAUAUAAGAUUUAGGUAAAGAGAACACUGCUUUUGCAUGUUAGAUUA
Long non-coding RNA from Cyanistes caeruleus (blue tit), 902 nucleotides. RefSeq lists it as uncharacterized. The record is from RefSeq and is a predicted model, not a curated record. NCBI's taxonomy places the organism in Eukaryota, Metazoa, Chordata, Aves, Passeriformes, Paridae.